UACGUAUGGAGCAAGCGUUAUCCGGAUUUACUGGGCGUAAAGGGAGCGUAGGCGGCCUGCCAAGUCUGAUGUGAAAUACCGGGGCUCAACCCCGGGGCUACAUUGGAAACUGGCAGGCUGGAGUGCCGGAGAGGCAGGCGGAAUUCCUAGUGUAGCGGUGAAAUGCGUAGAUAUUAGGAGGAACACCAGUGGCGAAGGCGGCCUGCUGGACGGUGACUGACGCUGAGGCUCGAAAGCGUGGGGAGCAAACAGG
RNAcentral lists this ribosomal RNA (253 nucleotides) under uncultured bacterium. RNAcentral describes it as "partial 16S ribosomal RNA". It matches the Rfam family "Bacterial small subunit ribosomal RNA", at positions 524 to 776 of the family's 1533-position model. The record is from RNAcentral.